GAGACACCCGUAUGGAGUAGGGCUUACUUCAGUGGGACUUUGGUGUUCACUGAGUCUGCCCCUUGAGUGUGUUGCU
Molecule: non-coding RNA, 76 nt
Organism: Myotis davidii
Lineage: Eukaryota; Metazoa; Chordata; Mammalia; Chiroptera; Vespertilionidae
Source: Rfam